GUGCUCACUUCAUCAGCACAUAUACUAAAAUUGGAAUGAUUCAGAGAAGAUUAGCAUGGCCCCUGUGCAAGGAUGACAUGUAAAUCCAUGAAGUGUUCCAUAUUAAA
This 107-nucleotide small nuclear RNA is filed under the name Castor canadensis (American beaver). The record is from RNAcentral. Lineage: Eukaryota; Metazoa; Chordata; Mammalia; Rodentia; Castoridae.